GAUGAACGCUAGCGACAGGCUUAACACAUGCAAGUCAAGGGGCAGCACGGGAGUAGCAAUACAACUGGUGGCGACCGGCGCACGGGUGAGUAACGCGUAUGCAACCUACCUAUCAGAGAGGAAUAACCCGGCGAAAGUCGGACUAAUACCGCAUAAAACAGGGGUACCGCAUGGUGAUAUUUGUUAAAGAAAUUCGCUGAUAGAUGGGCAUGCGUUCCAUUAGGUAGUUGGUGAGGUAACGGCUCACCAAGCCGACGAUGGAUAGGGGAACUGAGAGGUUGGUCCCUCACACUGGUACUGAGACACGGACCAGACUGCUACGGGAGGCAGCAGUGAGGAAUAUUGGUCAAUGGGCGAGAGCCUGAACCAGCCAAGUCGCGUGAAGGAAGAAGGAUCUAUGGUUCGUAAACUUCUUUUGCAGGGGAAUAAAGUGCAGGACGUGUCCUGUUUUGUAUGUACCCUGAGAAUAAGGAUCGGCUAACUCCGUGCCAGCAGCCGCCGUAA
This 504-nucleotide ribosomal RNA is filed under the name uncultured bacterium. RNAcentral's name for it is "partial 16S ribosomal RNA". It matches the Rfam family "Bacterial small subunit ribosomal RNA", at positions 28 to 523 of the family's 1533-position model. The record is from RNAcentral.